UCUUAUCACUCGUUUACUCAUUAAUCGCUUUGUUUCUUUCUUUGUCCAUUUAGAUUUUCAUUUUUCCUGCUUUCCUCCUCCACUGUGUGGUGAUGUCAGUGCCGGUAGGUUGAGGACAGUGUUUCAGAUCCGUGUGGAUUUUUCUUCACUCCUUCCUCUACUGGAUCACACUCCCCUGCCCCAGAUGCCAACUCAAGAGUAAAUUAUUGCUGCGGUGUGUCAUCUGUGAUCCUCAAAUACUGGGAGCUUAAUGUGAUCGAUCGGCCAGGCCCUUUCAAGAUCAGCGCCAGUAUAAGCAUCUCUUCCCCUAACACACAUGCUGCCUCUUUCCCCUCAGAAAACCUACUGGAAAUUAUUCAAAAUGAUGCACCCAUUUCCCGUGAAAGUGAUACCUCACUUUAUGGAGGUAUGUAUCACUUAUUCACAGCUAUGAAUGCUUGAA
Long non-coding RNA from Seriola aureovittata, 442 nucleotides. RefSeq lists it as uncharacterized. NCBI's taxonomy places the organism in Eukaryota, Metazoa, Chordata, Actinopteri, Carangiformes, Carangidae. The record is from RefSeq and is a predicted model, not a curated record. The transcript is spliced from 4 exons.